CAGUAGCCGCGGUAAUACGAGGGGAGCUAGCGUUGUUCGGAAUUACUGGGCGUAAAGCGCGCGUAGGCGGCUUUUUAAGUCAGAGGUGAAAGCCCGGGGCUCAACCCCGGAAUUGCCUUUGAAACUGGAAAGCUAGAAUCUUGGAGAGGUCAGUGGAAUUCCGAGUGUAGAGGUGAAAUUCGUAGAUAUUCGGAAGAACACCAGUGGCGAAGGCGACUGACUGGACAAGUAUUGACGCUGAGGUGCGAAAGCGUGGGGAGCAAACAGGAUUAGAUACCCGCGUAGUCCCUGUCUCUUAUAC
RNAcentral lists this ribosomal RNA (301 nucleotides) under uncultured bacterium. RNAcentral's name for it is "partial 16S ribosomal RNA". It matches the Rfam family "Bacterial small subunit ribosomal RNA", at positions 509 to 807 of the family's 1533-position model. The record is from RNAcentral.